Long non-coding RNA from Acanthochromis polyacanthus (spiny chromis), 1419 nucleotides. RefSeq lists it as uncharacterized. The record is from RefSeq and is a predicted model, not a curated record. The transcript has 2 exons. NCBI's taxonomy places the organism in Eukaryota, Metazoa, Chordata, Actinopteri, Pomacentridae.
GAUCACACAUGGAAAGUUUGAGGCAGAUUGGAGCAUGCAGAGGAGAGUUAUACAGCAGUUGUUGUUUCAUGGCGAAGCAUCAAAACUCUAAUGGUCGCCAUGGCCACGCCAUUUGGCUUCUGGUUAAACUUUUGAUAACUUUUCAUCACCAAGUCCUGCUGUGUGGACUGACAAAAUUUCAGGUCUCCUGGAAUUAUCCCCAAGGAGGUAUUAACUCUCAAAAAUGAGAAAAAUCAUCAAAAAUCUCACAAUUAAUCCAAGAUGGCCGACUUCCUGUUGGGUUUAGGACAUGGCUCCAAGAGGCUUUUUUGUGCGUCCUGAUGUGCUCUAUAAGCUUCCCAAAUUUCAUGGAUGUAGGUGAAACGUGCUGGGGGGGCUGUUUGUUAAAAAUACUGUAGGGGGCGCUAUAGCAUGUGCAGUGCCGAGAUGCAUACAGUGUUGUUCCUUGGGUCAAUGGUGAUGUGUGUGGUAAUUUUUGUGAGCAUUGGAGUAUUCCUAACCUGUCAGAAAGGGCUUUGUUUUUCAUGGUGAUAUUUGGUUGCUACGGCAACAGCGUUGCAUGAAAUGUCACACCCUUCACAGUGUGUGAUUGUCAAGAGGUGAAGACUCGACUGACCAAUUUCCAGCAUGAUAUCACCAAGUUUGGGGCCAUUGUACCUGAAAAUAUAAGGCCUUAAACUUACUAUUACCAACAGGUGGCGCUAUGACUUUUUCAAAAUUUAUGAGUGUGGAUGUGUUCAGACUGGACCUGGUAUCCAGCAUGUGAAGUCUGAGGCAGAUAGGAUGUUGUUCAGCUGAGAUAUGAAUCGUUAAAUUUUCAUGGCGAAACAUCGAAAUUGGUUUGGCCGCCACAGACACGCCCUUUGAUGACAAGUCACCAUUUUCACUGGGAUGCAUCAUCAAUGUGUUUAGGCUGUUGUCACUGCAUUUGAAGUGAAUAUGAUCAACCGGGUAACAAUAGGGCAUGAAAGUGUAAAAGAUGUCUAUUUCCUGAAACCACAAGGUGGCGCUAUGACUGUCAAUGAAUAUCCCUAUGUGGAUGACAUCAGGACAGGACUGUCAUCAUACAUGUUAAGUUUCAGGCAGAUUGGAGCAUGUUGAGAAGAAUUAGACACCAAUUCCUGUUUCAUGGCGAAGGAUCAGUUGUUUGAGGCUCCGCCAUGGCCACACCUUUUGGCUUCUGGUUGAGUUUUUGAUAACUUUUCAUCAGAAAGGUCUGGUGAAUGUACUGGCCAAAUUUCAGUUCUCUCAGACUUAUCCACUAGGAGCUAUAAAUUUUGACAAAUGUACAGCAAAUUCAAGAUGGCCGACUUCCUGUUGGGUUUAGGGUGUGGCUGUGAUUGACUUUUUGGUGUGUCCUGAUGUGGUGCAUAUGCCCACCAAAUAUUGUAGCUGUAAAUAAAACAUUGUGGAAGUUGA